UCCUACGGGGGGCAGCAGUGAGGAAUAUUGGUCAAUGGUCGGGAGACUGAACCAGCCAAGCCGCGUGAGGGAUGAAGGUACAGAGUAUCGUAAACCUCUUUUGUCAGGGAACAAAGGCGGGGACGUGUCCCCGGAUGAGUGUACCUGAAGAAAAAGCAUCGGCUAACUCCGUGCCAGUAGCCGCGGUAAUACGGAGGAUGCGAGCGUUAUCCGGAUUUAUUGGGUUUAAAGGGUGCGCAGGCGGUCUGUUAAGUCAGCGGUCAAAGCCCGGGGCUCAACCCCGGCCCGCCGUUGAAACUGGCAGU
This 305-nucleotide ribosomal RNA is filed under the name uncultured bacterium. Its description in RNAcentral is "bacterial SSU rRNA". It matches the Rfam family "Bacterial small subunit ribosomal RNA", at positions 337 to 640 of the family's 1533-position model. The record is from RNAcentral.